Molecule: transfer RNA, 64 nt
Filed under: Drabescus ineffectus
Lineage: Eukaryota; Metazoa; Arthropoda; Insecta; Hemiptera; Cicadellidae
Description: tRNA-Gly
Source: RNAcentral
AUUCAUUAAGUAUAUAUUGUAUAUAAAGCUUCCAACUUUAAGGUUAUUUUCAAAUAAAUGAAUA